AGAGUUUGAUCCUGGCUCAGAUUGAACGCUGGCGGCAGGCUUAACACAUGCAAGUCGAGCGGUAACAGGAGAAGCUUGCUUCUCGCUGACGAGCGGCGGACGGGUGAGUAAUACUUAGGAAUCUACCUAGUAGUGGGGGAUAGCUCGGGGAAACUCGAAUUAAUACCGCAUACGACCUACGGGAGAAAGGGGGCAACUUGUUGCUCUCGCUAUUAGAUGAGCCUAAGUCGGAUUAGCUAGAUGGUGGGGUAAAGGCCUACCAUGGCGACGAUCUGUAGCUGGUCUGAGAGGAUGAUCAGCCACACCGGGACUGAGACACGGCCCGGACUCCUACGGGAGGCAGCAGUGGGGAAUAUUGGACAAUGGGGGCAACCCUGAUCCAGCCAUGCCGCGUGUGUGAAGAAGGCCUUUUGGUUGUAAAGCACUUUAAGCAGUGAAGAAGACUCCAUGGUUAAUACCCAUGGACGAUGACAUUAGCUGCAGAAUAAGCACCGGCUAACUCUGUGCCAGCAGCCGCGGUAAUACAGAGGGUGCAAGCGUUAAUCGGAAUUACUGGGCGUAAAGCGAGCGUAGGUGGCUUGAUAAGUCAGAUGUGAAAGCCCCGGGCUUAACCUGGGAACGGCAUCUGAUACUGUUAGGCUAGAGUAGGUGAGAGGAAGGUAGAAUUCCAGGUGUAGCGGUGAAAUGCGUAGAGAUCUGGAGGAAUACCGAUGGCGAAUGCAGCCUUCUGGCAUCAUACUGACACUGAGGUUCGAAAGCGUGGGUAGCAAACAGGAUUAGAUACCCUGGUAGUCCACGCCGUAAACGAUGUCUACUAGUCGUUGGGUCCCUUGGAGGACUUAGUGACCGCAGCUAACGCAAUAAGUAGACCGCCUGGGGGAGUACGGCCGCAAGG
Molecule: ribosomal RNA, 895 nt
Filed under: uncultured bacterium
Lineage: Bacteria
Description: bacterial SSU rRNA
Rfam family: Bacterial small subunit ribosomal RNA
Source: RNAcentral